UACGGAGGGUGCGAGCGUUAAUCGGAAUGACUGGGCGUAAAGGGUGCGUAGGUGGUUUAAUAAGUUAUGUGUAAAAUACCCGGGCUCAACCUGGGCAGGUCAGAUAAUACUGUUGAACUGGAGUAUGGGAGAGGGUAGUGGAAUUUCCGGUGUAGCGGUGAAAUGCGUAGAGAUCGGAAGGAACACCGGUGGCGAAGGCGGCUACCUGGCCUAAUACUGACACUGAGGCACGAAAGCGUGGGGAGCAAACAGG
This 253-nucleotide ribosomal RNA is filed under the name uncultured bacterium. RNAcentral's name for it is "partial 16S ribosomal RNA". It matches the Rfam family "Bacterial small subunit ribosomal RNA", at positions 524 to 776 of the family's 1533-position model. The record is from RNAcentral.